AGACAGUAGUUCUGUUAGUUCAUUUUUCUUUUAUUGGAAUUUUCUGUAUUAUUACCAUUUUCAUAUCUUUGUAUAUAUGUUACUUCUGAUUUAUUUUUGGUCUUUAAAACUUUACGAAUACUAAACAGGUAGACUUAUACUGCUUUUCUUUGUUUUCGAUUAGUUUAUUUUCGAUACCUCAUUUUUAGUUUUAGUGGUACAGCUCAUAUCUUAGUUUGGAUUUUGUAUUUUUAUUGGAAACUUAUUUGUGUAUUUAAACUGAGUAUACAUAACUGACAUUAUGUUCUAUUAGUAUAAAUUUUUAUUUCUUCUACCAAUGGUAGGAUGUUUGCACGUACAAUUAAUUAUUGACUAUAUGCAUAUAUUUUUUUUCUAGUGUGGUUAUAUUUUCCACCUAACUAGAAAUUAUUUUCAGUAUUUAGGUAUUUUAUUUAAUUUAUUGAUUUGAUUAUUUAUAUAUUUUGCUGGCAUUUUGAUUUGUUGGUGUGUCGCUAAUAUUUUCUCCAUAUGUAUCUUUGUCUUACAAACUUUAGAUUAUAUUUUAUAUUUGUUAUUUUUGAUAUUUGGGUUGUUUGGUAAGACAGGCACACACCACAAAGCAAUAUCAGUCCAGAACAUUAGCUUCUACACAUGAUACGUUGAAUUCGCAUGGUUCGGAUGAUUACAGAUGGUCAUCCAAAUUAUUUUUCUUUAAUUGGGAGUGUUAAACAUUACAAUGAUAAAUUGUAUAGUAAAGUAGUUCCAUUAUCCAUCUCAGUUUCUAGUUUUAUUAUUGUUGAUAAUAAUAUUAUAUCAAUGUGGGUACCAUAAUAUAAUGCUCAUAGAAAUCAGAUACUUUAGGUUGAGAUUUAAACAUAAAUCUUUUAUUAGUUAGAAACAUUGGUACUUUUUCUAUUAAGUUUAGAACAAUCCUCAGAAGAAGAUUAACUUAACGGUGUCGUUCAAGCUAAUCUCUUCUUCUGUUUGUCUUUAGCUUAGCUCAAUCGUUAGUAUGGUUAGAAAUUUUAGUCUGAUUUUUUUUUACCAUCUGAUAAUGCACGUACCUACAUACAUUGCUUGAUUUCAUCUUUGGCUUUGUUGUUGAUGACUUUUAAUUUAUUACUUAUUAAUUUAAUUAUUAUGUAGUACUUUAUGUAUGAGUUUAUUUUUUUUUGGUAUUAUAAGCACAUUGCGCAUUUUAAUGAUUAGUAUGAGUCAAUAUUAAUUGCUGAUCCUGUUAGUAGGAUUAUACAAUUAAUAAGAACUUCACUUGUAUUUUUGUCUAGUUUUUGCACACCUAACCCCUAAGUUAGAAGGGUUGUUGAGUAUUAUUUAUUUAUAUAUUUGGAUAGGUGAACUCAUACAAGUACCUACUCUUGGUUAAUAUGGAUAUUAUUAUGGAACUAUAUGUUAUGCACUACAUAUGUCAGAUUACCUAUGUGUUAUAUAUUUUGAAUAUUUGAUUACUUACUAAUUUUUUUUAUUAUUUUUGAUAUAUUGUUAUUGAAUUUGCCAUAUUGGAAAGAUGUGGUUUUUAAUUUGUUAUUGGGUUACUCUAUUAACAUUUGUCUCCAAUAUCUUAAACACUUAAUAAUUUAUAUCCUUCUAUCCUACACACUAUGAUUCUGGAAUUAGUUUGGAAUGUUGAUGUAAGUAUGUAAUUCAUAUUUCUGCUUAUGAUUAGUCUGUCAAUACUCUGAUUUGUGAAUGCGUGGGUUCGAAGUUGUUUCUCAGCAACUGAUCACUGCUGUUUGACUGACUUCGUAAUCUAUGUCUUUCAUGGCAGAGUAAGCAGACGUUUUACCAUUAUAAUAUUUCUUGUUAGGAAAUGACGGUCGCAUGUCCUAACCAUUCUUCUGUAAUUAGUCCAAGUAUUCCAGUUUUUUUUUACAAUUUGAUAGGGAAGUAUUUAGUUUAUAUUUUAUCUCGUACUUCAUAGUAUGUUUGUUGUUGACUAUCACUAUACGCAGUAGGUUUGUUAAGUCAGUAUUUGGAGUGUUUAGACAAAUGAGUUGUUCAUCAGAGUAUAUUCCCACUUCUUUCCUUAGGCAUUAGUUGCUAUUCAGAUUCUGGAAUAUUUCCUGAAUAAUUCCACGUAUGUGAGAACGCAUGAAUUUGCAGUUUUAUUUAAAAUUGUGCUCGUUCUCGUCAAUUUUUUUCCCUAUCACUUAUCAUAUUUUUUUUCUUCCUAUUAUUUAUCAUAGUGCCAUAGACCUUGUAAGUUCACCAUUCAUUCUGUUUUCUUCCUUACUUAUUCUUAUAUUAGUACCUUAUCUGAGUCUGGUUAUUCUCAUACAUCUGUUGUAGCAACAUGCUAUAGUUCGCGAAUACCAGCACGAAUUAAGUUAUGUAUUUUCUAGAAUACUUUAGUCAAUACACUUUAAGUAUUUAUCUUACUUUUGAUUUAGUUAGGUUACAUCUCUGUUACUUAGUCUGUUAGCAAUAUUUAUUCUGACUUAUUUUGAUUACUUAGUUUGGAUAGGUUCAUAUUACCGGAUGAGGGUGUAUGUAGACCUAAUUUAUUUAUUGUGUUCAGUAUUAGUUACCAUUGGAUCCAAUAAUUUAAUUUAUUUAGUAUUAGUAAGAAUUGGUCCAUAAAUUUGCCUGAUCGUUCUUCUUUGGAUAUACUCUUAUAUAAAUCUGGUGUCCAUUGAUAGUCCGAUUCUGGAUAAGUGUCCGAUUCUUCAUUUAUUUUGUGUAUUUGGUUGGAUAGGUUCGUAUCACCGGAUGUGGGUGUACGUAGACCUGAUCUGUUUAUGUGGUUUAGUAUUGGUGUGAAUUGGUCCAUAAAUUUGCCUGGUCGUUCUACUUUGGAUAUGCCUUUUAUGAAUCUGGUGUCCACUGAUAGUCCGACUUUGGAUUAAGUGUCCGAUUCCACAUUUAUUUUGGUUAUUGAGUUUUGGAUUCCUUUGGUAUGUUUAUUAUUGGUAUUAUUUGACAUUAGUGAGAAUUGUUCCAUAAAUCUUCCUGAUUGUUCUUCUCUGGAUAUACUAUUAUGAAUCUGGUGUCCAUUGUUAGUUCAGUUUUGGAUAAAGUGUUCAAUUCUUUACUUAUUUUAGUUACUGAUUUUUUUUUAAUUUCACUUUGGUAUAUUUACUUGUGAUGGUUCGAAUUGGCUCACACCUUUUCCUGGUUGUUCCGUCCUUGGAUAUACCCUUUAUAAAUCUGAUGUCCAUGGAUAGUUCAAUUUUGGUUUUGGUGCCCAGUUCGACACUUAGCAUUAUGAUGAACUUUAGUGCAAUAUUUAGUUCUGUUUUGACUUUUAAGCAAUAUAUUAAUAUUUGGUAGCAGAGAGUAACAUAGUAACAUUUUAGUAUGAAUUUGAGUAAUUUAUUUAUUUUUCCUGACCAUUAGUUUAUUCUUAUUGGUAAUCUUGCGAAUCAACGUGGAUUGUUAGACUAUUGUAAAUUUAGUUGUUAAUAUUUUGAAGUUUAGAAAAAAAAUUUUAUGGAUAAAAUUUUUUUUCCCGAGUAGAAGGGGAUUGUAACGGUCACGUUACAAAAUUAGCUCUUUAAUUAUUAUUAUAAUUAUUUUUCCUCGGUCUCCAUUUAAAUUCUCUAAUUUCUCGUAUGGGACUACUGGGGUGACGUCAUACCUCGGUGAUGGAACGUACUCCACCUAUCGAGAAUGAUUUCGUUUUCUGAGAGAGUUUGACGUUUGCCUUGGCGGAGAAGCGCCUCUCGUUCUUUACUUGACUGUUGGCUGUUGUGUCGAAUAGAGGUACCAUAUAGAAUGGCGGAUGAUUUCAUCCAACUUAUUUUAUAACAUCAAGCAAUUUAAAGUAAAGUAAAAAGUUACCACCAAGGAUUGUCUGGAGUGAGGAGACAUGUGGGUGACAACUCCUGUUGGAGUCUAAAUAGGAAUCAUUCGCCAUUUGGGAGAAACCCUACCAUGAAGUCAUAGACCUUAUUUGACCACCUAGAGAAACCACUACAGCCACAGUCAAGUCACCAUUGGGAAUAUGUCUAAUUGGGAGCAAGCUAUGGGAGCGUUCCAGCUCAAUUUUCGUCUUGACACCUGGGCCUAUAGGAGUCAUGGGGUCGCACCAUCCUGGUGCAUCAUUUUCUAGGAUGCAACCGCAACCUCGUUUGGGAACAUUUAGUGAGGUGUUUUAGUAACUAUUGGUUUUUUUUUAUAUUUCAGACUAUCUGUUAAAUACACUAUGUUUUUUUCCAGAUUUAGGUUACCUCUGGUUUUUUUUUGACAUAUUUGUAUAUUAGAUUAUUUGGUUCCCAAACUUUGUAUCUACGGUAACUUCUUGUGCACAGGAAUAAGCCUAGAGAAAAUUAGGUUUUUAGUACUUUAUUAUUGCUUUGAUAUUGGUUUAUAUAAUUCGGUUAAAUUUAUUUUGUAAUAUUACUUGCUUGUUUCCCAAAUAUUUUACUGUUAUUCGCUUUAUUCCAUUUGUUCGGUUAAUUUAGGUCAUCGUCGGUAUUUAUCUCAUCUUCAUUUCUACUUUAGUCAAUUGUAUAUUUAACUUUAUUUAUUCAUUAUUGUAUUUUCCCUUAGUGAGGCUUGGGCCUAUUUAUUUGUAUUAUUUUCAUCUUUGUCGGUUUCAAUUCAGUUGUACGUAGCAGGCGUACUAUAACCAUUUGGUAGAAGACUUAUGUAAUUUUGUACCCUAUAUGUAAGUAAGAGGUACUAAUACCUGUAAUUUUGUAACAGAUAACAUUAUUGUUGUUAUCUUAGAGAUGACUUUUUGUAUAACUUAUGUCAUUUUAGAGUCACAUGAUAUACACUUUGUGUAACUCAGAGAUUGUCAAAAAUCUAGUAGUUAUUUUUAAUAAAUAUGUAUUUAUUUUGUA
Molecule: long non-coding RNA, 4784 nt
Filed under: Diabrotica virgifera virgifera (western corn rootworm)
Lineage: Eukaryota; Metazoa; Arthropoda; Insecta; Coleoptera; Chrysomelidae
Description: uncharacterized LOC126885139
Source: RNAcentral